Molecule: long non-coding RNA, 849 nt
Organism: Hydractinia symbiolongicarpus
Lineage: Eukaryota; Metazoa; Cnidaria; Hydrozoa; Anthoathecata; Hydractiniidae
Exons: 2
Source: RefSeq, a predicted model, not a curated record
GCCACAUAUAUACAAAAAAGCUGAUCAAUGUCAAACACAAAUCUCUCUCAUUGUAUAUGUUAAAAUCAGUUAGUUUAUUGCAAACCCUGCCAAAGGUUGACACAAAAUGUGAAAAAUAAACAAUAAAUUUUGGCUAAGUAGAAAUUUUUAUCUAAGGUGUUAAAAAGGGAUUUGCAACGAUAAAUUAUAAUGCAAUGAAACGUUUUUGAUAUAUUGCAUACGGUCCUUCCUCACCAAACUUUAGACAAAAUGCCAACAAAAUAACGGUGUUUAAAUCUAAAAUUAAUAAAAUCCUUUUAGCAAUUUGCAUGCUGUUUUACCAUCAAUAAAGUAAACAAAAUUUCAAAUCUCACAUAGUAUUCUGUCACAAAUUUUCAUAAAAUAUAUAUAUAAGUCAUAAUGAGUCAUGUUAAACAACAGCAAUCAAUCUGUAUAUAAGUUCAUUUUAUGUCAAUUUUUGCACCAAUUUUGCAACACAAAAUACAAAUUCUAAAUAAUACUAAAAUCUCUUAUUUUGGUCCUUCGCAUACCGACGGUCUCCCACAAAAGUUUAAUCAAAAUGUAAAAAAUGAGAGGUAACGACAAAAUCAAAGUUUGCAAAAUUUAAUUAUUUCGGUACAUAUAUCUACUGCAUAUGCCCUCUAAAAGAAUAUUUUAAUCCAAAAUGCCAAAGAAAAACAGUUUGCAACAAAAAUCAGUUAUUUCGAUAAUAUUGCAUACACUCUUUCCUCACAAAAGCUUCACAAACUGUAAAAAAAAGAAUGGUUGUAGGGAGUGCUUCUGAUUCAACAAAAAAAGUUUUUUUGACAUAUUGCAUCUAGCCCUUACCCAUUAAAUCUUACACAAAAU